AUUGAACGCUGGCGGAAGGCCUAACACAUGCAAGUCGAACGAGUGGCGGACGGGUGAGUAUUGUCUGGGAAACUGCCCGAUGGAGGGGGAUAACUACUGGAAACGGUAGCUAAUACCGCAUAACAUCUGAUGUUCCCAGAUGGGUUUAGCUCGUAGGUGGGGUAACGGCUCACCUAGGCGACGAUCCCUAGCUGGUCUGAGAGGAUGCCCAGCCACACUGGAACUGAGAAACGGGCCAGACUCCUACGGGAGGCAGCAGUGGGGAAUAUUGCACAAUGGGCGCAAGCCUGAUGCAGCCAUGCCGCGUGUAUGAAGAAGGCCUUCGGGUUGUAAAGUACUUUCAGCGAGGAGGCGUUACUCGCAGAAGAAGCACCGGCUAACUCCGGGUCAGCAGCCGCGGUAAUAC
Molecule: ribosomal RNA, 406 nt
Filed under: uncultured bacterium
Lineage: Bacteria
Description: partial 16S ribosomal RNA
Rfam family: Bacterial small subunit ribosomal RNA
Source: RNAcentral